This is a non-coding RNA of Triticum aestivum (bread wheat), 135 nucleotides long. The record is from Rfam. NCBI's taxonomy places the organism in Eukaryota, Viridiplantae, Streptophyta, Magnoliopsida, Poales, Poaceae.
GUAUUACUCCCUCUGAUCCAUAUUACUUGUCUUAGAUUUGUCUAGAUACGGAUGUAUCUAGACACGUUUUAAUGUUAGAAACAUCCGUACCUAGACAAAUCUAAGACAAGUAAUAUGAAUCGGAGGGAGUAUUUG